This 388-nucleotide ribosomal RNA is filed under the name Ovis aries (sheep). RNAcentral describes it as "partial small subunit ribosomal RNA". It matches the Rfam family "Bacterial small subunit ribosomal RNA", at positions 848 to 1397 of the family's 1533-position model. The record is from RNAcentral. Lineage: Eukaryota; Metazoa; Chordata; Mammalia; Artiodactyla; Bovidae.
UAAUUAUAAGAACAAAAUUAUUCGCCAGAGUACUACCGGCAACAGCCCGAAACUCAAAGGACUUGGCGGUGCUUUAUACCCUUCUAGAGGAGCCUGUUCUAUAAUCGAUAAACCCCGAUAAACCUCACCAAUCCUUGCUAAUACAGUCUAUAUACCGCCAUCUUCAGCAAACCCUAAAAAAGGAACAAAAGUAAGCUCAAUAAUAACACAUAAAGACGUUAGGUCAAGGUGUAACCUAUGGAGUGGGAAGAAAUGGGCUACAUUUUCUACCCAAGAAAAUUUAAUACGAAAGCCAUUAUGAAAUUAAUAGCCAAAGGAGGAUUUAGCAGUAAACUAAGAAUAGAGUGCUUAGUUGAAUCAGGCCAUGAAGCACGCACACACCGCCCGC